CUUCCUUCCUAGAUUCCCCAACUUUCUGACAAUCACUCAUUGUUUUAAUUUAAUAAUGCAAUUUUUUAGCUUUGUUUUUACAGCAUCUUGUUGUUCUCUUUAUAUCUUUUGAUCCCAUGGAAAGAGGAGCUAUUUUUCUCAGAGCCAAAGACGAGUUGCUGAAAUGGCUGCCAGCAGAACUGUGAUGUUAAAAAAAAAAAAUCUUGCAAACUGGAAAUGGUUGAGCCAGUGGGAGGUCUUUAACAUUCCUCCUACCCUAUCUACUUGGAUGCCAGUCUCCCUCCUCCUGAAGUGUGAGCUUUUUUAUGGGACUUGGAUGGGAACUCCUCAAAGCCUCAGGAAUCACUGCUGCACCGUACAAAAUGAUCCACCCUAAGCCUGUGCAAACCUCCUCUGAAGUGCUCCAAGCUUCUUCCUUACCUGUGCUGAUUGUCUCCAAAAUGUCCUUUCUGAGAUAUCUCCAGCUUAGUUUCUUCCCAUCCUUAGUCUCACAUCAUGGACAUUACUCAACUUAAUUGAAGAACAUCAAAGCUA
Molecule: long non-coding RNA, 534 nt
Filed under: Apteryx rowi (Okarito brown kiwi)
Lineage: Eukaryota; Metazoa; Chordata; Aves; Apterygiformes; Apterygidae
Description: lncRNA (ENSARWG00000013880.1)
Source: RNAcentral